Molecule: ribosomal RNA, 1081 nt
Filed under: Amanita sp. 'DEUT05'
Lineage: Eukaryota; Fungi; Basidiomycota; Agaricomycetes; Agaricales; Amanitaceae
Description: Amanita sp. 'sp-DEUT05' partial 28S ribosomal RNA
Rfam family: Eukaryotic large subunit ribosomal RNA
Source: RNAcentral
UUUGACCUCAAAUCAGGUAGGACUACCCGCUGAACUUAAGCAUAUCAAUAAGCGGAGGAAAAGAAACUAACAAGGAUUCCCCUAGUAACUGCGAGUGAAGCGGGAAAAGCUCAAAUUUGAAAUCUGGCAGUCUUUUUUUUCUUCUUUGGCUGUCCGAGUUGUAAUCUAGAGAAGUGCUUACCUGCACUGGACCAUGUAUAAGUCUCCUGGAAUGGAGCCUCACAGAGGGUGAGAAUCCCGUCUUUGACAUGGACUGCCAGUGUGUUGUGGUGUGCUCUCAAAGAGUCGAGUUGUUUGGGAAUGCAGCUCUAAAUGGGUGGUAAACUCCAUCUAAAGCUAAAUAUUGGCGAGAGACCGAUAGUGAACAAGUACCGUGAGGGAAAGAUGAAAAGGACUUUGGAAAGAGAGUUAAACAGUAUGUGAAAUUGUUGAAAGGGAAACGCUUGAAGUCAGUUAUGUUGGCUAGGGAUCAACCUAGCUAUUUUUGCUGGGUGAAUUUCCUAGUCUUACAGGCCAACAUCAGUCUUGACUGCUGGAAAAGAGCAGAGGGAAUGUGGCACCUUUGGGUGUGUUAUAGCCCUUCGUCAUAUGUGGCAGUUGGGACUGAGGGAUGCAGCAUGCCGUGAGGCUGGGUCUUUGACCACGUUUCAUGCUUAGGAUGUUGGCUUUUAAUGGCUUCAAUCGACCCGUCUUGAAACACGGACCAAGGAGUCUAACAUGCCUGCGAGUGUUUGGGUGGGGAAAACCCUUGUGCACAAUGAAAGUGAAAGUUGAGAUCCCUGUCAUGGGGAGCAUCGACGCCCGGACCUGAGCUUUUAGCAAUGGAUCCGCGGUAGAGCAUGCAUGUUGGGACCCGAAAGAUGGUGAACUAUGCCUGAAUAGGGCAAAGCCAGAGGAAACUCUGGUGGAGGCUCGUAGCGAUUCUGACGUGCAAAUCGAUCGUCAAAUUUGGGUAUAGGGGCGAAAGACUAAUCGAACCAUCUAGUAGCUGGUUCCUGCCGAAGUUUCCCUCAGGAUAGCAGAAGCUCAUUAUCAGAUUUAUGUGGUAAAGCGAAUGAUUAGAGGCCUUGGGGUUGAAACA